Molecule: non-coding RNA, 64 nt
Organism: Thrips palmi
Lineage: Eukaryota; Metazoa; Arthropoda; Insecta; Thysanoptera; Thripidae
Source: the annotation of a RefSeq genome assembly
CCUAAAAUAAGUUAAUUUAAAACUAUUGAACUUUUAAUUCAAUUUUACUAUAAAGUUUUUAGGU